Long non-coding RNA from Oncorhynchus tshawytscha (Chinook salmon), 2229 nucleotides. The record is from Ensembl. Lineage: Eukaryota; Metazoa; Chordata; Actinopteri; Salmoniformes; Salmonidae.
GCUGCCGCUGAGCAGACAUUUCUAUCUAAUCAGCUCGUGUAAUAAAGCAAUUUGCCUAAUGGUUGAGUAAAUUAAAUGUUUGGGUUUGGUUUCCAUGGCAACCAGCUGUCCGUAAUUAGUUAAUCAAGACAGGCAAGGUUUGAGGCUCAGAGUGGCUACAUAUGUCAAGAGGUUGUAAGGUACUUGAAUCAUUUGGUCAUCAGAUAGUUUGUGUCCAUACCACAGAAACAAUGCAUCGAGCUCUGCCCAUAUAUCUAAGAUCAUGUAUUUCUAUUGAAUUUCUUUCUCUUGCAGUGUCUUUUUGAUUAGCUCCGUCUUUGCUGGAGGUUCCUGGUGUGCCAACACGGCAAGAGCCCGAGCAGCUGCCCUGGGUUUGGACCUCCCUAGGACCCAGUUUGUCCCUUACCAUCUUCGACCAACACGCCAUAGAAGUUUUGAUCCCAUAAAAACCCACUAUGAAAAUAAUUAUGGCCCCAAAGAGGUUGAGUUUGAGCCUAUCCUUCCGCACAACGUUGAAAUCCAAGGGGAUGGAUAUCCAAAUGACUGGGCCUAUGGACAAAUCUUCCCCAGAGGCUUUCAACCCAAACCGUCUACACUGAACCAUCACGGUUCUGAUCUCAGUUUGGCUGACUCCUCUGUCUACACUCCCAAGGGACAAUUUGUUAGCAGCCACAAGCCCAACUUUGAGCAGGUCAAGAAUUCUGUGCCUCGACCAAAUGCAAUGGUAGCCCCUAGUCAGUUUGAGUACUCAGAGAAAGUGGACAAUCGAGGCUACUAUAAGUCUGUUGUAGUUCAGCCUGUCGCCAGCAGACGUAGAACAGCCCAGAGUGUGGUUUCACGACACCAGAGCAGAGGUGCUGUACCCUAUGGAAAAAGUAUCCUGUGGUCUUGGCCACAGACUUUUCCUCUAAAUCCGCUCCACCAUCCCAGAGUGGACUCAUCAGCCCCCGAGGUAAGACAAUUCUGAUCCCAGGGCAUGGUGCUGUCCAUUCUGUGAUCAAAGAGCUGAAAUAUGAAGCAGUUUGAUUAAGUGUCAGAAAAAACAGGGAUCCGGUUGGUUAAGAUCCUAACGGACAAACUUUCCUUUGCAAACUACCUUUGUCUGAGGAGCCAACCAUACCAUUGGUGAGCAAAUCGGUGACCUUAUGCACUUUUUAAGGGCAAAACAUGUAAGUUGUGUUUGUAAUCCAGUACAUUUACUUAUCCAUGACAUCACUGUUCUGAAUUACUAUUUGGUUAUGUGUUUAUCCUUCAAAUAAAAUGUCCAUGUUUUGAGAUGGGUUUUUUUUAUUACUCGGAAAAAUUAAACUGCUAGACCAAGUAAAUACUAACAAUUUGCUACGUUUAUAGAAUUUUGGUUUAAGAAAAAUUAUCUAGCAGUAAGUGAUGCACCAGAAGUGUAGUUUUUAAAAUAUACACUUUGAACAGAAACAGAUGUCCUUUUGAAAAAUUGUUCAGUUUGCUUGUGACCUUCAGCUUUUGAUCACCAUAAGUGAUUGUGUCCCUGUAAACCAAUAGAAACUCAACCAGGGUCAUAUCCAAUCUAAAUACCUACUCCAAAGAUGGUGGAUAAAUUAAAUUGGUUCACUCAAGCUGUUUAAAAAUAUUCCUCUAAGUGGGUGUUCCCUCUCUUGUGUGAGCAUGCUUUCCUAUGUGAGCUUACAGUUUCUCCAUAUCAGAGCCCCACAGUGGAGGUGGCAUAAUACCCAUGUAUAUCUCUGUUGGACAAGGUGACUUUUAUCAAUCUAUUCGGCUCUAUUUAAUUAUUUGAUCAUGCUAAUUAGCAUCAAAGUAGACAUCAUGCAAAACUACAAGCUCCUGCACGUCAUCUCUAGCUGACUUCUUUGCUAACAGCUAUUGUUUCAAUUUAAAACUUGCACAAUACAGUUCAUAGAAUUGUCAAUUUUUAAAGAAAUGUAGCCAAUUUAUUCAUUACUACAUUUAGAUACAAUGGUGUAAAAAUACUAUAAAGUACUACUUAAGUUGUGUUUUGGGGAAUCUGUACUUUAUUUUUGACAACUUAUUUUAUUACAUUCCUGAACAAAAUAAUGUACUUUUUACUCCAUACAUUUUCCCUGACAUCCAAAAGUACUCAGAUUUUGAAUGCUUAGCAGGGCUGGAAAAAAGGUCCAAUUCAUGCACUUUUUCCUCUAAUCUGGUCGACUCAACUAUACACAUGCUUCAUUUGUAAAUUGUGUUGAAGUGUGUUAGAGUGCCCCUGGCUAUCCA